This 716-nucleotide long non-coding RNA is filed under the name Zea mays. RNAcentral describes it as "long non-coding RNA NONZMAT004576". The record is from RNAcentral. Lineage: Eukaryota; Viridiplantae; Streptophyta; Magnoliopsida; Poales; Poaceae.
UCGCUAAGCAGGUAGUAGUGCAUAAGCAACAGAUGCUACCACAGAAUAUUCAAAUCUCACAACACCAGCAACUUGCAGGUUACUGUCCGUUUGGCGCAAUCAUCUCAUAUUCCACCCCAAUUAAGGAAGCAGUAUUAAUCACAAACAUAAGCGCUAGAUGUAGGAUUACGGAAAGCAACAAGAGCAUGGCUACAUCAAUCAGAAGAUUGGUAGUUUCAGAUUUCCUAGCGACAACGCUAAACAAGCUAGUAACAGAUUUCUCAGGCGCAUCCGUGUCUCCAGGUCAAUUUUACCCAACAAACUAGAACAGGCAACCCGCUGAGAACCUACGGGCUAAAUAGCACCAUGUUAUUCGCACACAAUCACACGUCCCACCCGCCGCAACCAGAAGAGCACCAAAAAAACAAUCACACCGCGUCCCUAAGAUCGCAUCGAGCUGUACCUCAUGCUUCCGCCUCGUGAACGGAGGUGCGCGUCGUGUGGUCUGCGUCGGGGAUUUAGGGAUUGGGGUUUAGACGUCUUGGGGGAAGACUGCCGAUGGGGAGAGGAUGCGGCCGCGGCCUGGGUGCGAAGUCAGCAGUCCCGUCAGCAGGAGGUAUAAAAAGACGAAGCGGCGGAGCGGGAGAGAAUGGAGGGCGACGGGGGCAAACUCGUCAAACUGCGGGAUUGCGCGAGUGCUGCUGGUGCUUCCAAAAGUCUCUAGAUGGUUCUAUUUC